Molecule: long non-coding RNA, 517 nt
Filed under: Malus domestica (apple)
Lineage: Eukaryota; Viridiplantae; Streptophyta; Magnoliopsida; Rosales; Rosaceae
Description: long non-coding RNA (MDOM_LNC020780)
Source: RNAcentral
UCAUCCUCACAAUCUUCCUAUUGAUAAUGUAUCAUUAGAAGAAUAUGUUAGAAAAAGUCUAUCAUAAAGAGGAUAACACAUUUAAGUCAUAAUUCUUCAAAUUACAAAUUGUUGUAUGAAGAAAUAAGAGUUGCUUUGAACAACCCUUAGUCAAUGCAAACACUAGUGCUUGUUUCUUUGUUAAAUGAACAAAGAACUUGAGAAGAAAGCACAAGGGCAUGGACACUUUAUGUGCCAUGAUUCUUCACUUACAAAUUGUUGUAUGAAGAAAUGAGAGUUGCCUUGGACAACUCUUGAAAGUUUUUAAUUAUGUUUAGAACAUAAUGGUUGGUUGACAAAAAUAGUCCAUCAACAUGGACUUAUGAUGAUUUUGAAUCAUUGAGUGUUGAAGUGUUAAACCACUUAACGAGACGGAAACUAGGCUAGGACUUCACCUUUAUGUCCCUAACCUAAUGGUUCACUAAGUUUAUUGUAAACUAUGUAGUGAACAAUAAACACAUGCUCUCCAAAAUGUUUG